AGCAGCCGCGGUAAUUCCAGCUCCAAUAGCGUAUAUUAAAGUUGUUGCAGUUAAAAAGCUCGUAGUUGAAUUUCGGGAUCAAUAUGUCGGUCGUGCCUUCGGUACGUACUGGUAUCAUUGGUCUCUCCUUUCUGACGAACCAUGAUGUCAUUAAUUUGGUGUUAUGGGGAGUUAGGACUGUUACUUUGAAAAAUUAGAGUGUUUAAAGCAGGCUUUAGCUUGAAUACAUUAGCAUGGAAUAAUGAAAUAGGACGUUCGAACCUAUUUUGUUGGUUUCUAGGAUCAACGUAAUGAUUAAUAGGGAUAGUUGGGGGCAUUAGUAUUCAAUUGUCAGAGGUGAAAUUCUUGGAUUUAUUGAAGACUAACUACUGCGAAAGCAUUUGCCAAGGAUGUUUUCAUUAAUCAAGAACGAAAGUUAGGGGAUCGAAGACGAUCAGAUACCGUCGUAGUCUUAACCAUAAACUAUGCCGACUAGGGAUCGGAUGAUGUUAAUUUUUAAUGACUCAUUCGGCGCCUUAAC
RNAcentral lists this ribosomal RNA (520 nucleotides) under uncultured Glomus. RNAcentral's name for it is "SSU rRNA". It matches the Rfam family "Eukaryotic small subunit ribosomal RNA", at positions 569 to 1092 of the family's 1831-position model. The record is from RNAcentral. Lineage: Eukaryota; Fungi; Glomeromycota; Glomeromycetes; Glomerales; Glomeraceae.